CAGUCGCCACGGGAAUACAGAGGGUGCGAGCGUUAAUCGGAUUUACUGGGCGUAAAGCGUGCGUAGGCGGCUUCUUAAGUCGGAUGUGAAAUCCCUGAGCUUAACUUAGGAAUUGCAUUCGAUACUGGGAAGCUAGAGUAUGGGAGAGGAUGGUAGAAUUCCAGGUGUAGCGGUGAAAUGCGUAGAGAUCUGGAGGAAUACCGAUGGCGAAGGCAGCCAUCUGGACAAAGACUGACGCUCAGGUGCGAAAGCGUGGGGAGCAAACAGGAUUAGAUACCCGGGUAGUCCCUGUCUCUUAUAC
This 301-nucleotide ribosomal RNA is filed under the name uncultured bacterium. RNAcentral describes it as "partial 16S ribosomal RNA". It matches the Rfam family "Bacterial small subunit ribosomal RNA", at positions 509 to 807 of the family's 1533-position model. The record is from RNAcentral.